RNAcentral lists this ribosomal RNA (388 nucleotides) under uncultured bacterium. RNAcentral's name for it is "bacterial SSU rRNA". It matches the Rfam family "Bacterial small subunit ribosomal RNA", at positions 102 to 477 of the family's 1533-position model. The record is from RNAcentral.
ACGGGUGAGUAACACGUGGGUAACCUACCUAUAAGACUGGGAUAACUUCGGGAAACCGGAGCUAAUACCGGAUAACAUUUGGAACCGCAUGGUUCUAAAGUGAAAGAUGGUUUUGCUAUCACUUAUAGAUGGACCCGCGCCGUAUUAGCUAGUUGGUAAGGUAACGGCUUACCAAGGCAACGAUACGUAGCCGACCUGAGAGGGUGAUCGGCCACACUGGAACUGAGACACGGUCCAGACUCCUACGGGAGGCAGCAGUAGGGAAUCUUCCGCAAUGGGCGAAAGCCUGACGGAGCAACGCCGCGUGAGUGAUGAAGGGUUUCGGCUCGUAAAACUCUGUUAUUAGGGAAGAACAAAUGUGUAAGUAACUGUGCACGUCUUGACGGUA